GGACUACUAGGGUAUCUAAUCCCGUUCGCUCCCCACGCUUUCGCACCUCAGCGUCAGUGUUAGCCCAGAGUACUGCCUUCGCCAUCGGUAUUCCUCCUGAUCUCUACGCAUUUCACCGCUACACCAGGAAUUCCAUACUCCUCUGCCACACUCAAGUCAACCAGUAUCCAAGGCACUGUUCACGUUGAGCGCUGAACCUUUCACCUCAGACUUAAUUGACCGCCUACGCGCGCUUUACGCCCAGUAACUUCGGACAACGCUCGCCCCCUACGUAUUACCGCGGCUGCUGGCAC
This 293-nucleotide ribosomal RNA is filed under the name uncultured bacterium. RNAcentral describes it as "partial 16S ribosomal RNA". The record is from RNAcentral.